Molecule: ribosomal RNA, 195 nt
Filed under: Paenibacillus polymyxa
Lineage: Bacteria; Bacillati; Bacillota; Bacilli; Caryophanales; Paenibacillaceae
Description: partial 23S ribosomal RNA
Rfam family: Bacterial large subunit ribosomal RNA
Source: RNAcentral
GCUGGGUAGCUAUGUACGGAAGGGAUAAGCGCUGAAAGCAUCUAAGCGUGAAGCCCCCCUCAAGAUGAGAUUUCCCAGUAAGUAAGACCCCUUGAAGACGACGAGGUAGAUAGGUUGGGGGUGGAAGUGCAGUAAUGCAUGGAGCUGACCAAUACUAAUCGGUCGAGGGCUUAUCCUAAAGAUAAGACGCAAGGA